RNAcentral lists this ribosomal RNA (253 nucleotides) under uncultured bacterium. RNAcentral's name for it is "partial 16S ribosomal RNA". It matches the Rfam family "Bacterial small subunit ribosomal RNA", at positions 524 to 776 of the family's 1533-position model. The record is from RNAcentral.
UACGUAGGUGGCAAGCGUUGUCCGGAUUUAUUGGGUUUAAAGGGUGCGCAGGCGGUUGGGUGUGUCAGAUGUGAAAUCCCGAGGCUAAACCUCGGAACUGCGUCUGAAACUACUCGACUAGAGUAUUGGAGAGGGUAACGGAAUUCACGGUGUAGCAGUGAAAUGCGUAGAUAUCGUGAGGAACACCAGAGGCGAAGGCGGUUACCUGGACAAUUACUGACGCUCAGGCACGAAAGCAUGGGGAGCAAAAGGG